This 301-nucleotide ribosomal RNA is filed under the name uncultured bacterium. RNAcentral describes it as "partial 16S ribosomal RNA". It matches the Rfam family "Bacterial small subunit ribosomal RNA", at positions 509 to 809 of the family's 1533-position model. The record is from RNAcentral.
CAGCAGCCGCGGUAAUACGGAGGGUGCAAGCGUUAAUCGGAAUUACUGGGCGUAAAGCGCACGCAGGCGGUUUGUUAAGUCAGAUGUGAAAUCCCCGGGCUCAACCUGGGAACUGCAUUUGAAACUGGCAAGCUAGAGUCUCGUAGAGGGGGGUAGAAUUCCAGGUGUAGCGGUGAAAUGCGUAGAGAUCUGGAGGAAUACCGGUGGCGAAGGCGGCCCCCUGGACAAAGACUGACGCUCAGGUGCGAAAGCGUGGGGAGCAAACAGGAUUAGAUACCCCUGUAGUCCCUGUCUCUUAUAA